This is a long non-coding RNA of Gallus gallus (chicken), 3068 nucleotides long. NCBI's taxonomy places the organism in Eukaryota, Metazoa, Chordata, Aves, Galliformes, Phasianidae. The record is from Ensembl.
CCUGGCUGCCUGACUUGCACAGCCAAGCCCUGUGUGAACACAGGGGCUAAGGCUGUGUGAUCACCUGUAACACUUCGUGCUCAAACCUGAGAUCCAGGUGCUAUAGUCAGCUCCUCAGUCAUCUGUUUAAAGGUCUGAGCGCCUUCACUGAUUGUGGAAGUUACAGGGAGUUGUUUUCUCCCACCUAGAGGUGUGUCGUUCAUUGUUGCCACUGAAGACCAGGCUGCAGGUGCCCAGGAAAGCGAUGGAGUCACCAUCCCUGGUGGUGGUCAAGAACCAUGUGGAUGUGGCACUGAGGAACAUGAAGAGCCUGGAUUGCAGAUGCCAAGAAAUAUGGUAACAGCAGCAUUUCUCACAAACUUUGCCUGUUUUGUGAAGUGUUGGCCGUGACACCUGAUUAUGCGACUGCCCACUGUGUAGGAGUUACAAGGUCAGCAUGAACUAAACAAAGGAAAACCGUGGUCUCACCCAAUAUACAGCCCACAGCAAACACAGAGUGUGCGGGGAGUAAUGAGUUUGCAUGAUAAGAGUAUAAUCGUUGUUUUGGGUGCUGUUGUCCUUGAAAACUGCUUUAGAAGCUUUUCCCAUCAGGUAGCAUCAGCUGUGAGUGAGAGCAGCCUCCUUAGAAACUGCUAUUUUAUCCUGCUCACCUGCAGACAUAGGCUCUGAGCCUUCAGUACCUGUUCUCCAACUUCAGACAUGACAGCCAGAUGUUUUCUCUCCCCACCCAGACUGCUGGCAGCACACAUACCUCAGUUGGUAAAGCUUUAAGACGUCCAUCAGUCUCAUGGGAUCUCUGGUAAACACCGAGUAGAUUCCCUGGAGUGCUUCAUCAAGAUCAAGUGCAGCAAAAGACUCAGUGCUGUCUCAUUCUCUGCCCAGCCUUGGGCACAGAUUUGAGCAACAUGAGAGCUGCUGUGACCCAUGUCAUCUGGCAGUGGUCCCCAAGAGCUUGUUUACACAGGAUAUUUUUUCACGAGAAUGUAAUUACACCGCUGAAACUACAUGAGCGUGAAAACUUUGCACGUGUAGCAGAGUUAAGCCAGGACUUCUGCGUUAGCCAGGGCUCGAUUCUGCAAGGUGCAGAGCGCAGGUGUGAGGCACUGACUGUCCCUUGUUCCCUGCCAUCAGCGGCCCAGGAGAACAGUCAUUGUCCUUCAGGAAUGCUUGACAUCAUUCGGAAAUGCUGAGCACCUUCCAGGACUGGAACUACUGGGAUGAACAGGGCAGAAACAGGCUCAUGCUUUGCAUUUGGCCCAGGCUAUGCUUUUAAAGGACAUGAGGAAGUUCUUUAUUCUGGACUACGAGCCUGCUCUUGCUUUGACUGAAGCAAGUGGAUUUUGUUUCUGUACUUUGAUGUAGAGAGUAGAGAUUGAUUUUCAUCAGCUUGUGGCUGUUGAGUAGCAAGUCAGGCAGUCUGGCUGCUCCACAGCAUCACAGGCAGGCUGAGCCACAAACACAGCAUCAUCAUUUUUUUUCACACCUUCCUCUGCUCACCUUCAUCAAACAGCUCCUCUUCAUUAAAGCAGUUCCUCCGCUUCUCUGCUCGCUUUACAUGUUAUGACACUGCUGUGAAGCACAGAAUUCACUGAAGCCUUAGAGAGAAAUAGAUAAAUGAGACAUCUUGAGCCAUCACUACAGAGAGAGAAAAGGAGGACAUGGUGCUGAUUUCAGCAAACACUCAUGUUUCCACAACACUUACUCACUGUUAGGCUACUCCACAAACCUUUUAUGUAAAGAAAAUUUGCAAGAAUAGCAACGAAGAUGACAUAAUGAAUGAAGUGAGCAGUUAUUUUUGGCUGCCCCCAAUUUGGGUGACAUUGAGUUUGGCCACAGCACCUGCCAUGAUGGCUUGAUAAGGUCUGAAAUAGUGCCUGAAUAAUAAAUGAGGCUCACAUCUGGUAAAAUUCAGUGUUUGAGGUUUUUUUUUUUAAUGUUCUUUUAUCAUGUUCCUGUUGCUUGACUUUAUCUGAAGGGAUUAUGUUUAGAGAGCAUACAUAGACAAAUAGAUAUGCUAAUAAAAAAUGCUAUAGUUGAUAAGGUACAGGCAACACGGAGCAUUCAGUGCAGGCUACAACCAGCUCCAGACUAAAAAUGGUUACUAACGUAACUGAAAUUUGUACUUUGGUCAUUAAAAAACACAGAUAACAAAUGAGUAAAUGAUCCUUUUGACUGGUUUACUUUCAGGAGGCUAGAUUAUAUUUGUCAGUGUAGAUCAAGAGAAUGGUGAAAGAAGGGAAAUAAAAGGAGUUGCGCUUUCUAUUCUAGUAACUAGAAUGAGGGGUCGAGGGGGAAAUGCAGGUUUCAAUCUGAUAAAUAAGUGCAUGAUAUAUGCCGGGCUUAUGGCAGUGUUGUUGCAGGCCAGGAGAGCUCGGGAGGGACGUGUAUUUCUAAGCCCUGUGAGACUGGCAGUUCUCACUCUUAAUCCAGUUCCCAUCUUCUCUGCUAGUGGAGAGAGUACCCACGUUCAGAGGCUUUGACAGGACUCAGCAUCCAACAGCAUCUGAUGGAUCACCUAUUACAGUCUGAAGACUUUAAAUCUGUCCAAGAGUGGUUUCCAAAGCUCAGAAUGAACGAUUUUGUAAUCAGCAACCUGACUUCCAGAGCUGCUUGAUAGUACAAAAUCUCAUUAAAGAUAAAAGACUAAAAGAAAAGUAAGCCUUCCAAACAAUUUUCCAAUUAAAAUUGACUUUUCUGGGGGGAAACAGAACAAACCAACAAAAAACUGGUUAUCUGGAAAGUUGAUACUCUAAUUUCUCAAAUGCAGAAUCCUGAAACACCUGGUAUCACCAACUCCCAGCAAGAAGCAGCAUUACUGAACACUGUGGCAGAAGCCUGGAUUCUAGAAAGAUCAGGGAAAAAGAAGAAACUGCAGUAGAAACAUUUGGCUUGUCACAAUUGUUAUAUGGCACCGUAGCUGCAACUUCGUAAUGUGCAAUAAAACUGACAUGACGAGUUUUCUUUGAAAAGCACUUUGGUUCUGGAAUAAAAUCACAUGCAUCAAAAAUAUGGCAUAGCCUUCUGUAUUGCAUAAUGUAUUGCAUAAGAGAAAAUAGAGAAUAGCUGUU